RNAcentral lists this ribosomal RNA (507 nucleotides) under Bacillus sp. (in: firmicutes). RNAcentral's name for it is "Bacillus sp. (in: Bacteria) partial 16S ribosomal RNA". It matches the Rfam family "Bacterial small subunit ribosomal RNA", at positions 41 to 533 of the family's 1533-position model. The record is from RNAcentral. Lineage: Bacteria; Bacillati; Bacillota; Bacilli; Caryophanales; Bacillaceae.
GGGGUGCCUAUACUGCAGUCGAGCGAAUGGAAAAGAGCUUGCUCUUAUGAAGUAGCGGCGGACGGGUGAUUAACACGUGGGUAACCUGCCCCUAAGACUGCGAUAACUCCCUUAAACCUUAGCUUUACCUGAUUUUCUUUUCUACUGCAUGGUUCAAAAUUCAAAUGCCUCUUUCACUAUCAUUUUUGGGAUGGCCCCGCUUCGCUUUACUUAGUUGGGGAGGCUUCGGCUCACGUUACCUUUUAUGCGUACCCGACCUGAGAGGGUGAUAGGCCACACUGGGACUGAGACACGGCCCAUACUCCUACGGGAGGCAGCAGUAGGGAAUCUUCCACAAUGGGCGAAAGUCUGAUGGAGCAACGCCGCGUGAGUGAAGAAGGAUUUCGGUUCGUAAAACUCUGUUGUAAGGGAAGAACAAGUACAGUAUUAUUUUGUUGUACCUUGACGGUACCUUAUUAGAAGGGGGGGGGGGGGUACGUGCCAGCCGCGCGGUUUAAUACAAAAAUG